GAGGAACCUUCAUUCUAGUCACCGACGUCUGCAUCUCGAUCACCGAUCAGCCAGAGAAUGUGGAAGCUGAGUGCCAGGAACCCUGUUCCCAGGAGGUCGCCCAGAGCCGUCAGAAGCAAGGCCAGUAUUCAUCACCCAUUCCUAGAUGUCCUUGAGAUGGUUGUGUUGAGCUGCCUCCUUGAAUACAACUCAGUCAUGUGUGAUGUGCAGUCGGACUUGUUCCCUUUCCUUAAGCGCUUGGAAUACCAUGCUCUAAAAAUAAACAAGUAGAAUUGGAGACUAAACAAAGUGACCCAAGUGGACUCUUCUCUUUGACGAAGACCUUUAUCUUUACUUGCAACUUGUACAUGCACCUGUCAGACUGAGAACUCUUGAAUCUAUCAAAUGGGAGAAUUCACUUUCUAAUAUUUGUUAACUCUCAACCGGGUCAUGAUUGGGUUCAGUUUUUAAUAGUUUCUGAUGAAGCUCAGAAUAACUAAGCAGUAUUUUUCAAAAGUUUGUAAUUGCUAAAACCCUACAGUAAAGUUUGAAACUUUGAAAAGAGAUACGUACUUGCAAUAAAGCAGCCAUCAUGUAGAACACAAUAAAUAUUGGCGUUAGUGUUGUGUGUCCCCCCUGCAUUGAGUUAAUAGUGUAUAGAAAGACAAGGUGUCCAGGGACAACUAGAAGGAACAAGACCCGAGCUGAUCUCGAAUUCAAAUCUGCAAAAGAAUAAACAAAUGCAAAACAUUCUUUUUACAGCCAUCUGAAAUGAUUAAACACUACAGUUUUAAUUCUGGACUGAUAAAGCAAAUCAUAAAUAAC
Rhincodon typus (whale shark) is the source of this 804-nucleotide long non-coding RNA. RefSeq lists it as uncharacterized. The record is from RefSeq and is a predicted model, not a curated record. The transcript is spliced from 3 exons. NCBI's taxonomy places the organism in Eukaryota, Metazoa, Chordata, Chondrichthyes, Orectolobiformes, Rhincodontidae.